Mycena rosella is the source of this 98-nucleotide non-coding RNA. The record is from the annotation of a GenBank genome assembly. Lineage: Eukaryota; Fungi; Basidiomycota; Agaricomycetes; Agaricales; Mycenaceae.
GUCUUCGUGGAGCAAGGACGCUCGUUCCCUCUGUAUACACAGAUCAUGACGAACAUGUACGUGUGGGAAAGCUGGUGGUUCGACUCCACCCGAAGACA